Molecule: long non-coding RNA, 373 nt
Organism: Pseudophryne corroboree (corroboree frog)
Lineage: Eukaryota; Metazoa; Chordata; Amphibia; Anura; Myobatrachidae
Exons: 3
Source: RefSeq, a predicted model, not a curated record
AGUGGAACAGGACCUAGGAGCAGAAGGUGCUGAGCUGUACUUAACCUGAUUUGGUGGUGUACAUGGUGACCAAAGGAGACUCCUAAUCUGAUCUUCAGUAAAUCAGAGUCCAGCAGCUGACAAAGAGAGUGUCUAUGGAGUGGGCCGGAUCUAAACCUUGUGGCGCCCAGGGUGAAAAAAUAGGGGCGUGGCUUCAUGGAGAAGAGGCGUGGUCAGGAGAGGUCGUGUUUUGACUAGAGUUUUUAAAGUUGCUUAUAGAUCCAGAAUAUUGAUACAUUUCCUCUGCAGACAGGACUGAAGAGCUAUAGUUCCCAAACCCUUAGGACUCACAUCUGUUUUAAUGAAUUCCAGACAAUAAAACUGCAUACACAUU